UGGAAAAGCCGGUGGAUGGAGGGGACCUCAUGGGGGAGGUGGAAGCCUGCCACGUGAAGGACCGUCUUCUGCGAGAUGAAUGGAAAUAGGCCAACCUUGUCCCUUAAUGCAUGGAGCUACUAAACCAGCUAGGUGCUGGUCAUUUACUGACUCCCAGCAGUUGUAACUUUCUUUGGUGGACUGGAAUUGGUUUGGGCUUUUCAUCAGUCUUGAGAAGAGGAUGGGAAGAAUAUGGGUCCUUCUUCAAGAUGUCAGUUACCUCUUGGACUUUGAGGCCGUUGAAUGACGUUUAAUAAACUGAAUUUUUACAGUACUACUACUGUCUUGGUUUCCUUUAUGUUCACUAGAAGAUGUUAAGAUAGUGGUUAAUGCACUAUCAGAAGGGGUGGGGUUAAUAUGAUAGCCAGCUUUCAGGCCUUUGAAGAUCAGAGGGCAGAUGAGGGGACAUUGCAAAGGUAGAGUUCUGUUCCAGAGCAAUUACUAUACCUGUAAAAUGCAAAGUUGAGGGUGCAACUUAAAGGAUAUAAACACAGUAAGUUUAUGGUGGU
RNAcentral lists this long non-coding RNA (548 nucleotides) under Monodelphis domestica (gray short-tailed opossum). RNAcentral's name for it is "lncRNA (ENSMODG00000032909.2)". The record is from RNAcentral. Lineage: Eukaryota; Metazoa; Chordata; Mammalia; Didelphimorphia; Didelphidae.